AUGGACCUCCUCGAGAUCCCGCUGCCCAACAUGUUCGAGAAGCUCCUCGGCAAAGAUGAGGACACGUGGCCCCCGGAGGCGCGCUUCCUCGUCGCCGCGCACUACGGCAACGUCCGCCGCCUCAAGGAGAUCGCCGGGAAGCUGGACCGCAAGGGGAAGGCGGGGGAGGAGGCCACGGUGGCCGCCACCACCUACCGCGGCAUGAACGCGCUCCACGCCGCCGUCGGGGGCCAGGGCAAGCUCGCCGCCUGCCGCUACCUCGUCGAGACCGUCAGGAUGGACGUCAACAUGUGGGACUCCUCCCCAAGCAAGAAGACGCCGCUGGAGCACGCCGUGGACGGCAACAACCUGCCCGCCCUCAGGUACCUCCUCGACCAUGGCGCCGAUCUCAACCAGGAAGAGGACGACGGCGACACUGUCCUUCAUCACGCUGCAAGGAAAGGGAGGUGUGAAAUAGUAAAGUUGCUGCUUGCUAGAGGAGCCGACGUUAACGGCAGCUCAGAGCACGGGACACCACUCCAUCUUGCUGCUGUUAAAGGGCAUGAGAGCACUGUGGAGGUUCUGUUGGAACACCAUGCAGAUGUCAACAAGGUUGUGACUUCUAAUCUAGUAACACCUCUAAAGGCCGCAUUGCUUAGUGCUUCCACGCCUUGUGUGAAGUUAUUGGUUCAGGCUGGAGCUGAUGUGAAUGAUGUCAGCAAUUCCUUGGCAAGAGCUGCAAGCGAAGGCUUGACUGAAUGUGUUAAGUGCUUGCUGGAGGCUGGUGCAGACCCAAAUCGUCCUGAUGAGUGUGGUAGAUUCCCGAUAGAGUUAGCUGCUGUGUAUGGUACAAGGGAAGACGUUGAGCUUCUAUAUCCUGUCACCUCCCCAAUUCCAACUGUGGCAGACUGGAGCAUUGAUGGGAUAAUUAAUCAUGCCAAACUGGAGAGGAUGCAGCUGCAGGAUGAGGAUGUUCUUAACACAAGGAAGUCUGACCUGAAACGAAAAGGGGAUGAAGCAUUUGAAAAGCAGGAUUACACAAGUGCAUCAGAGUUCUACACACAGGCACUGAAAGUUGAUCCUUCUGAUGGCAAGAUGCUCGCGAGCAGGAGCCGCUGCUGGCUUCAGCUUGGCGACGGACAGAAGGCUUUGGAGGAUGCAACCAGAUGCAAGAGGAGGUGCCCGGAGUGGGCGGAGGCCCGCCUUCGCCGAGGACAGGCUCUGAUGCUGCUAAAGGACUAUGAGAAAGCUUGCGAGGAGCUGUCGGGCGGCGUGGAGCUGGACCCCGAGAACGAUGAGAUGGACAAAUUGUUCUGGGAGGCGAUGGAACUGAAGAAGAAGUGA
RNAcentral lists this ribosomal RNA (1323 nucleotides) under Triticum aestivum (bread wheat). Its description in RNAcentral is "partial small subunit ribosomal RNA". Lineage: Eukaryota; Viridiplantae; Streptophyta; Magnoliopsida; Poales; Poaceae. The record is from RNAcentral.